CCUACGGGAGGCAGCAGUGGGGAAUAUUGGGCAAUGGGCGCAAGCCUGACCCCGCAACGCCGCGUGAAGGAAGAAGGCUUUCGGGUUGUAAACUUCUUUUGUCAGGGAAGAGUAGAAGACGGUACCUGACGAAUAAGCCACGGCUAACUACGUGCCAGCAGCCGCGGUAAUACGUAGGUGGCAAGCGUUGUCCGGAUUUACUGGGUGUAAAGGGCGGGUAGCCGGGUUGACAAGUCAGAUGUGAAAUCCUGCGGCUUAACCGCAGAACUGCAUUUGAAACUGUUGAUCUUGAGUACUGGAGAGGCAGACGGAAUUCCUAGUGUAGCGGUGAAAUGCGUAGAUAUUAGGAGGAACACCAGUGGCGAAGGCGGUCUGCUGGACAGCAACUGACGGUGAGGCGCGAAAGCGUGGGGAGCAAACAGGAUUAGAUACCCCAGUAGUC
Molecule: ribosomal RNA, 442 nt
Filed under: uncultured bacterium
Lineage: Bacteria
Description: partial 16S ribosomal RNA
Rfam family: Bacterial small subunit ribosomal RNA
Source: RNAcentral